CAGUCGCGCGGGAAUACGUAGGGUGCGAGCGUUAAUCGGAAUUACUGGGCGUAAAGCGUGCGCAGGCGGUUAUAUAAGACAGAUGUGAAAUCCCCGGGCUCAACCUGGGACCUGCAUUUGUGACUGUAUAGCUAGAGUACGGUAGAGGGGGAUGGAAUUCCGCGUGUAGCAGUGAAAUGCGUAGAUAUGCGGAGGAACACCGAUGGCGAAGGCAACCCCCUGGACCUGUACUGACGCUCAUGCACGAAAGCGUGGGGAGCAAACAGGAUUAGAUACCCCCGUAGUCCCUGUCUCUUAUACA
Molecule: ribosomal RNA, 301 nt
Filed under: uncultured bacterium
Lineage: Bacteria
Description: partial 16S ribosomal RNA
Rfam family: Bacterial small subunit ribosomal RNA
Source: RNAcentral